Molecule: ribosomal RNA, 630 nt
Filed under: uncultured archaeon
Lineage: Archaea
Description: bacterial SSU rRNA
Rfam family: Archaeal small subunit ribosomal RNA
Source: RNAcentral
UUCCGGUUGAUCCUGCCGGACCCGACUGCUAUCAGAGUGGGACUAAGCCAUGCGAGUCAACAUAGCAAUAUGUGGCAUACGGCUCAGUAACACGUAGUCAACAUGCCCAGGGGACGUGGAUAACCUCGGGAAACUGAGGAUAAACCGCGAUAGGUCAUCACUUCUGGAAUGGGUAAUGACUUAAAUCUAUAUGGCCCCUGGAUUGGACUGCGGCCGAUCAGGCUGUUGGUGAGGUAAUGGCCCACCAAACCUGUAACCGGUACGGGCUCUGAGAGGAGGAGCCCGGAGAUGGGCACUGAGACAAGGGCCCAGGCCCUAUGGGGCGCAGCAGGCGCGAAACCUCUGCAAUAGGCGAAAGCUUGACAGGGUUACUCUGAGUGAUUUCCGUUAAGGAGAUCUUUUGGCACCUCUAAAAAUGGUGCAGAAUAAGGGGUGGGCAAGUCUGGUGUCAGCCGCCGCGGUAAUACCAGCACCCCGAGUGGUCGGGACGUUUAUUGGGCCUAAAGCAUCCGUAGCCGGUUCUACAAGUCUUCCGUUAAAUCCACCUGCUUAACAGAUGGGCUGCGGAAGAUACUAUAGAGCUAGGAGGCAGGAGAGGCAACGGUACUCAGUGGGUAGGGGUAAAAUCCG